RNAcentral lists this ribosomal RNA (476 nucleotides) under Microbacterium sp. m48. RNAcentral's name for it is "bacterial SSU rRNA". It matches the Rfam family "Bacterial small subunit ribosomal RNA", at positions 26 to 512 of the family's 1533-position model. Lineage: Bacteria; Bacillati; Actinomycetota; Actinomycetes; Micrococcales; Microbacteriaceae. The record is from RNAcentral.
AGGAUGAACGCUGGCGGCGUGCUUAACACAUGCAAGUCGAACGGUGAAGCAGGAGCUUGCUCUUGUGGAUCAGUGGCGAACGGGUGAGUAACACGUGAGCAACCUGCCCCUGACUCUGGGAUAAGCGCUGGAAACGGCGUCUAAUACUGGAUACGAACCACGAAGGCAUCUUCAGUGGUUGGAAAGAUUUAUUGGUUGGGGAUGGGCUCGCGGCCUAUCAGCUUGUUGGUGAGGUAAUGGCUCACCAAGGCGUCGACGGGUAGCCGGCCUGAGAGGGUGACCGGCCACACUGGGACUGAGACACGGCCCAGACUCCUACGGGAGGCAGCAGUGGGGAAUAUUGCACAAUGGGCGCAAGCCUGAUGCAGCAACGCCGCGUGAGGGAUGACGGCCUUCGGGUUGUAAACCUCUUUUAGCAGGGAAGAAGCGAGAGUGACGGUACCUGCAGAAAAAGCACCGGCUAACUACGUGCCAGC